AUGGCAUUAGACUGCUCUGAAUAAAGCUGCUUGAUUUCUUAUCCACCAGUAUUUGACCCUGAUUGCACUGUGAUCCUACCUGACUUCGGAGGCCAUAUCCACCCUGAUACUUGUUCAUUUGUUCACUCUUUGGUUAUAUGUAUUGAGCACCUACUUUGUACUAUGAUGCUCUGUCAUUCAGACCAGCAGUUGCUGAUAACUGCUUGUCACAGGAUCUAAUGAUUUAGCCUUGACAAGUCAAGAGUGGAUGCGGCCUUUGCAUUCUAUCCCCCGAGUCCUUGCUGAUGCUAUCUGCUUAUUACUGUG
This 306-nucleotide long non-coding RNA is filed under the name Bos taurus (domestic cattle). RNAcentral describes it as "long non-coding RNA NONBTAT017786". Lineage: Eukaryota; Metazoa; Chordata; Mammalia; Artiodactyla; Bovidae. The record is from RNAcentral.